This is a long non-coding RNA of Dalotia coriaria, 672 nucleotides long. RefSeq lists it as uncharacterized. The record is from RefSeq and is a predicted model, not a curated record. The transcript has 3 exons. Lineage: Eukaryota; Metazoa; Arthropoda; Insecta; Coleoptera; Staphylinidae.
AGUCGCCUAGCAACGCAGAGGGGUGUUGCUAUGACAACGUAACAAACUACACACUAUAAAAUGCAAGUCAUCGGUUUCUGUGUAUUCAGUGUGCAGCAGAUGAUCGUCGAGCAGGCAAACACGAAGUUGUUGGUUUUGAUUUUCGUCCCCGGCGAGUUUGGUUUGGCGUCGGUUUGUUUUGCUCACACCAAAAUUUGCAUUAAUACGAAAUCAUCGACCGCCAGCGCCGCCGAUUCAAAGGUGGCAAAGUGGCGACGCCGCCAUUGAUGUGGUUAGACGGUUACCGCUAAGUGUUGGCAACUCAUCCUCUGUCUACCGCCUCCCACGAACCCAACAUCAACAUUAUCAAGGUCUAGUCUACGCGCAGUGAAAGCAUCUUUGCUGCAUUGUCAUCAAGACUCGUGAAUUUUCGUCAAGAUGGAAGGGGGGACGAUGUAGGAACGUCGAUUCGCAGCUUCCAGAGCAACGGAAGGGUCGAAAUGUAAGAAUCGAGGGUGGCUCUCGGGACGCCGCCACCACCAGCGCACGGGGACUAAUUGAUUAAUGCCCGAGAUCGAUUAACGACCGCAUCGUUUAGAACUUCAAUCAAUAAAGCGACCCCUCUCGCAGCAGCCCAAACAAGACGAGCAAUUCUUGUUCUGUAUCCCUUCGUCUGUCACUCCUAAAUUUGCU